This is a long non-coding RNA of Xiphophorus hellerii (green swordtail), 943 nucleotides long. RefSeq lists it as uncharacterized. The transcript has 2 exons. The record is from RefSeq and is a predicted model, not a curated record. NCBI's taxonomy places the organism in Eukaryota, Metazoa, Chordata, Actinopteri, Cyprinodontiformes, Poeciliidae.
AUCAACGUAUGCUUUACUCUUAAAAAUAGUCUGUUCAUAUUUUAAACGUUGCACUUUUUUGUCAGUUAUAAAUAGCUAGUAAACUAACAUAAAACCAGAUACAUGUGUAAUUACUUAAUGUUAGAUUGCUAACUAUCUAGGUAAUAUGUCAAGUCAGUGAGUUAGCAAUUUACAUUUUUCGGUUUGCACAUUAAACUAGAAUUUUGACAUGGAGUCCAGGGCCCAUUUCAUGGAGCAUCAGGCAGACAGGUCAGAGGUCGCUGGAGUCAGUCCAACUCGUUACCAUCUCUGUAGAGGACAUGGCGUGUUGAGUAUUUAAGAUCUGAGGUUGCUGCUUUUGAACAUGAGCACAUUCAACAAUUGAAUUUACAGCUGACAUAGCAAGUGUUGGAGCAAUGUGUGGAUCGGGAUCGGGGCCUUGAGGUAUUCAGGCAUUGUGCCCCUUCUCCAACAUCACCUCCUGUCUCCAGCCAACCAUCCUGGAGCAUCUACCAGAGGAGCAGAGAGAUUAUGCCUUCUGUGGUGGAGAGAAAGUGCAGCAUGCGACAGCCACCUUGUUGCAUUUCAGCCCUACCACACAUGGAGCCUUACACUCUUAAGGCAUGAGUCCUGCAUCUGGGCAGGAGCAUCUGGAAUGACGUGUGCUGCUGUUGAAUUUCCAGAUUUAGAUGAAGAACAGGCUGCAUACAGACAAUUUAUGCCUUGGCACUAUGGGACUUUGGGUCCUGAUCACAGAGCGGUCAUCCCAAACUGGAGUGUUUGGACUAUCCAGGAUAGAUUUCUAGAUCCCUUUGGAGAGUACAGGAGAUUUAUUUCAAGCAGAAUAUAGCUGCAGUGGUUUAAAAUGUUUAAUGCAUUCUGUCUGCAUAUGAAUAUUUGGCUUAUUCAAAACAUUUCUAAUACAUUUGUUGUGAAUACUUCUCAAUAAAGGGUUUAAAAAAUA